This 183-nucleotide ribosomal RNA is filed under the name uncultured bacterium. RNAcentral's name for it is "partial 16S ribosomal RNA". It matches the Rfam family "Bacterial small subunit ribosomal RNA", at positions 1319 to 1500 of the family's 1533-position model. The record is from RNAcentral.
CACGAAGUUGGAAUUGCUAGUAAUCGCGGAUCAGCAUGCCGCGGUGAAUACGUUCCCGGGCUUUGUACACACCGCCCGUCCAAACCAUGAAAGUUGGGAACACCCGAAGCCGGUGAGCUAACCGCAAGGAGGCAGCCGUCGAAGGUGGGUUCAAUGAUUGGGGUUAAGUCGUAACAAGGUACC